CCUACGGGGGACUGCAGUGGGGGAUAUUGCACAAUGGGGGGAACCCUGAUGCAGCGACGCCGCGUGGGUGAAGGAGUAUUUCGGUAUGUAAAGCCCUAUCGGCAGGGAAGAAAUUGGACGGUACCUGACUAAGAAGCCCCGGCUAACUACGUGCCAGCAGCCGCGGUAAUACGUAGGGGGCAAGCGGUAUCCGGAUUCACUGGGUGUAAAGGGAGCGUAGACGGCCAUGCAAGCCAGGGGUGAAAGCCCGGGGCCCAACCCCGGGACCGCCCUUGGAACUGCAUGGCUGGAGUGCGGGAGGGGCAGGCGGAAUGCCUGGUGUAGCGGUGAAAUGCGUAGAUAUCAGGAGGAACACCGGCGGCGAAGGCGGCCUGCUGGACCGCGACUGACGUUGAGGCUCGAAAGCGUGGGGAGCGAACAGGAUUAGAUACCCGUGUAGUC
RNAcentral lists this ribosomal RNA (441 nucleotides) under uncultured bacterium. Its description in RNAcentral is "partial 16S ribosomal RNA". It matches the Rfam family "Bacterial small subunit ribosomal RNA", at positions 338 to 795 of the family's 1533-position model. The record is from RNAcentral.